RNAcentral lists this ribosomal RNA (477 nucleotides) under Vibrio parahaemolyticus. RNAcentral's name for it is "bacterial SSU rRNA". It matches the Rfam family "Bacterial small subunit ribosomal RNA", at positions 468 to 944 of the family's 1533-position model. Lineage: Bacteria; Pseudomonadati; Pseudomonadota; Gammaproteobacteria; Vibrionales; Vibrionaceae. The record is from RNAcentral.
UUUGACGUUAGCGACAGAAGAAGCACCGGCUAACUCCGUGCCAGCAGCCGCGGUAAUACGGAGGGUGCGAGCGUUAAUCGGAAUUACUGGGCGUAAAGCGCAUGCAGGUGGUUUGUUAAGUCAGAUGUGAAAGCCCGGGGCUCAACCUCGGAAUUGCAUUUGAAACUGGCAGACUAGAGUACUGUAGAGGGGGGUAGAAUUUCAGGUGUAGCGGUGAAAUGCGUAGAGAUCUGAAGGAAUACCGGUGGCGAAGGCGGCCCCCUGGACAGAUACUGACACUCAGAUGCGAAAGCGUGGGGAGCAAACAGGAUUAGAUACCCUGGUAGUCCACGCCGUAAACGAUGUCUACUUGGAGGUUGUGGCCUUGAGCCGUGGCUUUCGGAGCUAACGCGUUAAGUAGACCGCCUGGGGAGUACGGUCGCAAGAUUAAAACUCAAAUGAAUUGACGGGGGCCCGCACAAGCGGUGGAGCAUGUGG